Molecule: ribosomal RNA, 500 nt
Filed under: uncultured bacterium
Lineage: Bacteria
Description: partial 16S ribosomal RNA
Rfam family: Bacterial small subunit ribosomal RNA
Source: RNAcentral
GACGAACGCUGGCGGCGUGCCUAAUACAUGCAAGUCGAGCGGACUUGAAGGAGUGCUUGCACUCCUGGGAGUUAGCGGCGGACGGGUGAGUAACACGUAGGCAACCUGCCCUCAAGACUGGGAUAACUACCGGAAACGGUAGCUAAUACCGGAUAAUUUAUUACAUAGCAUUAUGUGAUAAUGAAAGACGGAGCAAUCUGUCACUUGGGGAUGGGCCUGCGGCGCAUUAGCUAGUUGGUGGGGUAACGGCCCACCAAGGCGACGAUGCGUAGCCGACCUGAGAGGGUGAACGGCCACACUGGGACUGAGACACGGCCCAGACUCCUACGGGAGGCAGCAGUAGGGAAUCUUCCGCAAUGGGCGAAAGCCUGACGGAGCAACGCCGCGUGAGUGAUGAAGGUUUUCGGAUCGUAAAGCUCUGUUGCCAAGGAAGAACGUCUCAUAGAGUAACUGCUAUGAGAGUGACGGUACUUGAGAAGAAAGCCCCGGCUAACUACGUG